RNAcentral lists this transfer RNA (70 nucleotides) under Dipodomys ordii (Ord's kangaroo rat). It matches the Rfam family "tRNA". Rfam says of the family: Transfer RNA (tRNA) molecules are approximately 80 nucleotides in length. Their secondary structure includes four short double-helical elements and three loops (D, anti-codon, and T loops). The record is from Rfam by way of RNAcentral. Lineage: Eukaryota; Metazoa; Chordata; Mammalia; Rodentia; Heteromyidae.
GGGAAAGUGGCUCAGUGGUAGAGCACUUGCCUUGCAUGCACGAGGCCCUGGGUUCAAUUCCUCAGCACCA